GACGAACGCUGGCGGCGUGCUUAACACAUGCAAGUCGAACGGAAAGGCCCGGCUUUUGUGGGGUGCUCGAUAGGCGAACGGGUGAGUAACACGUGAGUAUCCUGCCCUUGACUUUGGGAUAACUUCAGGAAACUGGGGCGAAUACCGGAGAGGAGCUCCUGCUGCAUGGGGGGGGUUGGAAAGUGUCGGCGGUUGGGGAUGGACUCGCUGCUUAUCAGCUUGUUGGUGGGGUAGUGGCGGACCAGGGCUUUGACGGGUAGCCGGCCUUGGAGGGUUACCGGCCACCAUGGGCCUGCGAUACGGCCCAGACUCCUACGGGCGGCAGUAGUGGGGAAUCUUGCACAAUGGGCGGAAGCCUGAUGCAGCAACGCCGCGUUCGUGAUGACGGCCUUCGGGUUGUAAACCGCUUUCGCAUGUGCCGAAGCGUGAGUGACGGUAAUGGGUAAAGAAGCACCGGCUAACUACGUG
Molecule: ribosomal RNA, 468 nt
Filed under: uncultured bacterium
Lineage: Bacteria
Description: partial 16S ribosomal RNA
Rfam family: Bacterial small subunit ribosomal RNA
Source: RNAcentral